This 496-nucleotide small RNA is filed under the name Pan troglodytes (chimpanzee). RNAcentral's name for it is "processed transcript". The record is from RNAcentral. Lineage: Eukaryota; Metazoa; Chordata; Mammalia; Primates; Hominidae.
GUUCUGCUCUGAUCCCACUCCAACUGCAGUCACCUGUGUGCCGCCCGCCUGUGGUCCUGGGAGCCCGAGGCCAGCCCGGCUGCCGCAUCCUGCUCUUCGCACUCCAGGUGUCUGCCCCCAGCCUCUGCGCCUGUGAGACCUUCUCUCUGGAAAAUUCUUCUCUGAUAUCCACAUGCCUUUGCAUUGCCUCCCUGUCUCGCCCUGAAAGGCUGCCCAGGCUUUGCUGAGGUUCUGCAGACCUUCAGCACCUGCAAGGGGAUGCUGGGCGAGAUCCUGUCUGCAUUCGAGUUCAUGGAUGCUGUGUGCAUGCAGCUGGUCGGGCGCCAUCUCCACCUGGCCAGCCCGGUGCAAGAGAGUCCGUUUUACGUCCUCAUCGAGACUUCAGGCUCCAACGCAGGCCAUGACGCUGAGAAGCUGGGCCGCUUCCUGGAGCACGUGCUGGGCUCCGGCCUGGUGACCGAUGGGACCAUGGCCACUGACCAGAGGAAAGUCAAGG